GAAAGUGCAACAUCCAUGUAGAGGGUCAAUAUUGAUACAAGCAAUGAAAACCUAGCCAUGCGCUUCAUGUGAAUGCUGUUCCCCCCAAUCACUUAGUCAAAUCCAAACUUACUUUUUGUCCUCCACAAUUUCUAUGUACUAUUCUUUGCUGCACGAUAUAAAUUUCAUAAAUCGAAUCGAUCAUACAUAUCUGCCUUCUCUCUCAUGGAAAUUGCAAAGUCUCCCAAUUUGCAAUGCUGGUAGGUCACGAUAGGCCCAUAGAGGUGCUUAGACUGGGCUUGGGCCUCAAUGUUCCACUACGAGUUUGGUCCCAACCGACACCCUCCCAGGAAUCAUAUCUUCAAAGUGUAAAUAUAUUUUAAGGAUUAGGUGGCAAGCAGAAAAUAAAUAAUGAAUAAACAAAAAGUUGUGCCGACUUUUCCAGACUGAUUGAACUUGUCCCCAAAGUAUUCAAUUAUGAUUCUUUUUUCAAGAAAAUAAAAAAAUUCAAUUCCUUUCGCUGUCUUCUCGUGUAAAUUUAUCUAUUUAUUUAAUUCAUAUUAUGCGCAGGCAAAAAAGUAAUAAUGCACAAAAAAAAGAACAGAAAAAGAUUGCAACCGUUCAAUACAAACAAGCAAAAGUGUAGAGGAUCCGGUCCAUGUGGAUAAGGCAGUUUAGGAUAACCUGAAUGCUGUGUCGUUUAUUACAAUUUAGAUGUCGCACCCAGAAGUCAAUCGCUCGAUUCGCACCUUAAAAGGGAAAACCAGGCCCCUCGCCACAUGUCUUAAACCUAAGUCAAUCCGACAACACAUAGUAACC
This 798-nucleotide long non-coding RNA is filed under the name Prunus persica (peach). Its description in RNAcentral is "long non-coding RNA (PPER_LNC007523)". Lineage: Eukaryota; Viridiplantae; Streptophyta; Magnoliopsida; Rosales; Rosaceae. The record is from RNAcentral.